UGCAAGUCGAACGGUAACAGGAAUUAGCUUGCUAAUUUGCUGACGAGUGGCGCACGGGUGCGUAACGCGUAUACAAUCUACCUUUUGCUGAGGGAUAGCCCAGAGAAAUUUGGAUUAAUACCUCAUGGUAUUAUUGAUAGGCAUCUAUUAAUAAUUAAAGGUUACGGCAAAAGAUGAGUAUGCGUCCCAUUAGCUAGUUGGCGAGGUAACGGCUCACCAAGGCAACGAUGGGUAGGGGUCCUGAGAGGGAGAUCCCCCACACUGGUACUGAGACACGGACCAGACUCCUACGGGAGGCAGCAGUGAGGAAUAUUGGACAACGGGCGAGAGCCUGAUCCAGCCAUGCCGCGUGCAGGAAGACUGCCCUAUGGGUUGUAAACUGCUUUUAUACAGGAAGAAUAAGCCUUACGUGUAAGGUGAUGACGGUACUGUAAGAAUAAGGACCGGCUAACUCCGUGCCAGCAGCCGCGGUAAUACGGAGGGUCCGAGCGUUAUCCGGAAUUAUUGGGUUUAAAGGGUCCGUAGGCGGAUGAUUAAGUCAGGGGUGAAAGUUUGCAGCUCAACUGUAAAAUUGCCUUUGAUACUGGUCAUCUUGAGUUGUAUUGAAGUAGGCGGAAUAUGUAGUGUAGC
This 630-nucleotide ribosomal RNA is filed under the name uncultured bacterium. RNAcentral describes it as "bacterial SSU rRNA". It matches the Rfam family "Bacterial small subunit ribosomal RNA", at positions 56 to 679 of the family's 1533-position model. The record is from RNAcentral.